AUCCAGUUGACGAAUCCCAAAUAAGACAAAACGCACUUCCUGUAU
Molecule: non-coding RNA, 45 nt
Filed under: Schistosoma curassoni
Lineage: Eukaryota; Metazoa; Platyhelminthes; Trematoda; Strigeidida; Schistosomatidae
Source: RNAcentral